Small nuclear RNA from Equus asinus (donkey), 108 nucleotides. The record is from Ensembl. NCBI's taxonomy places the organism in Eukaryota, Metazoa, Chordata, Mammalia, Perissodactyla, Equidae.
GUGCUUGCUUUGGCAGCACAGAUACUAAACAUGGAACAAUACAGAGAAGAUUAGCAUAGCCCUUGUGCAAGGAUGACACACAAAUUUCAUGAAGCGUUUCAUUAAAAA